Oreochromis aureus is the source of this 621-nucleotide long non-coding RNA. The record is from Ensembl. NCBI's taxonomy places the organism in Eukaryota, Metazoa, Chordata, Actinopteri, Cichliformes, Cichlidae.
UGAUGCUGGAACAUACGAGUGUCGUGUUUUCAUUGAAGAAACUCGCUCAUGGAAGAACAGCAUCAUCAUCCACCUGACUGUUGUUGAUCCUCCAGACCCAAAGAUCAUCACAGCUGAGUCUGGACAGGACGUCACUCUGACAUGUCGAGCUCCAAACAACAAGAUCACAGCUGUACAUUGGAGCAGAGCUGACCUGGGAGACAAAUAUGUGCUUUUGUACCAGGAUAAGCAGUUUGUUCCAGAUAGCCAGCAUCCAUCUUUUAAUAACCGGGUGGAUCUGCAGGACAGACAGAUGAAGGAUGGAGACGUGUCUUUGAUUCUGAAGGAUGUGACGAUUAAUGAUGCUGCAAGAUACAAGUGUGAUGUGCUUGUGAAUGAAACAGACUCAUGGAAACUCGUCAGCAUCAUCAACCUGAGGGUUUCCCCAGACCAGAAAAAUAUCACAGCUGAGUCUGGACAGGACGUCACUCUGACAUGUCGAGCUCCAAAUAACAACUUCAGAGAUGUAGAGUGGAGCAGAGAUGACUUGACAUCAGACCAUGUAUUCUUGUACCAGGAUGGUCACUUUCUUCUAGACAGCCAGCAUCCAUCUUUUAUGAACCGGGUGGAUCUGCAGGACAG